CCUACGGGUGGCUGCAGUGGGGAAUAUUGCACAAUGGGGGAAACCCUGAUGCAGCCACGCCGCGUGAGUGAAGACGUAAUUCGUUAUGUAAAGCCCUAUCAGCAGGGAAGAAACUGACGGUACCUGAGUCAGAAGCCACGGCUAACUACGUGCCAGCAGCCGCGGUAAUACGUAGGGGGCAAGCGUUAUCCGGAUUUACUGGGUGUAAAGGGGGCGUAAGCGGCAGUGAAAGUCUGGAGUGAAAGGCGGGGGGUCAACCCCCGGACUGCUCUGGAAACUGUACGGCUGGAGUGCAGGAGAGGUAAGGGGAAUUCGUGGUGUAGCGGUGAAAUGCAUAGAUAUUAGGCAGAACACCGGUGGCGAAGGCGGCUUACUGGAGUGUAACUGACGUUGAGGCUCGAAAGCGUGGGGAGCGAACAGGAUUAGAUACCCCGGUAGUC
Molecule: ribosomal RNA, 440 nt
Filed under: uncultured bacterium
Lineage: Bacteria
Description: partial 16S ribosomal RNA
Rfam family: Bacterial small subunit ribosomal RNA
Source: RNAcentral